This 1255-nucleotide ribosomal RNA is filed under the name Gnathopogon elongatus. Its description in RNAcentral is "partial 16S ribosomal RNA". It matches the Rfam family "Bacterial large subunit ribosomal RNA", at positions 686 to 2591 of the family's 2925-position model. Lineage: Eukaryota; Metazoa; Chordata; Actinopteri; Cypriniformes; Gobionidae. The record is from RNAcentral.
AAAGAGACCUUUAGUUUAAAACCCCGAAACCAGGUGAGCUACCCCGAGACAGCCUAAGUAAUUUAGGGCUAACCCGUCUCUGUGGCAAAAGAGUGGGAAGAGCUCCGGGUAAAAGUGACAGACCUACCGAACCUGGUGAUAGCUGGUUGCCUGAGAAAUGGAUAGAAGUUCAGCCCCGUAUGCCCCGUACCAAAAACAUCAUUUUAAGAUUUAGGGAAACUUAUAGGAGUUAGUUAAAGGGGGUACAGCCCCUCUAACAAAGGAUACAACCUUUACAGGAGGAUAAAGAUCAUAAUAUUUAAAACACACUGUUCUAGUGGGCCUAAAAGCAGCCACCUAAACAGAAAGCGUUAAAGCUCAGACAGAAAGAAGUUUAUUAUAAUGAUAAAAAAUCUUAUUCCCCUAAUAGUAUCAGGCUAUUCCAUGCUCACAUGGAAGAGAUUAUGCUAAAAUGAGUAACAAGAAGACUUGAUCUUCUCCAAGCACAAGUGUACACCAGAUCGGACUAACCACUGGAAAUUAACGAACCCAAACAAAGAGAGUAUUGUGAAUUAUAUAAAAACCAGGAAGACCCCACAAUUAAAUAAUCGUUAACCCCACACUGGAGUGCUAUAAAUUAAGGAAAGACUAAAAGAAAGGGAAGGAACUCGGCAAACAUAAGCCUCGCCUGUUUACCAAAAACAUCGCCUCCUGCAAACAAAUUAAGUAUAGGAGGUCCAGCCUGCCCAGUGACUACGGGUUCAACGGCCGCGGUAUUUUGACCGUGCAAAGGUAGCGCAAUCACUUGUCUUUUAAAUAGAGACCUGUAUGAAUGGCUAAACGAGGGCUUAACUGUCUCCCCCUUCCAGUCAGUGAAAUUGAUCUAUCCGUGCAGAAGCGGGUAUAAUUAUACAAGACGAGAAGACCCUUUGGAGCUUAAGGUACAAAAUUCAACCACGUUAAACAACUAAACAAAGAGGGGGAACUUAGUGGGACCUGAAAUUUUACCUUCGGUUGGGGCGACCGCGGAGGAAAAAUCAGCCUCCGAGUGGAAUGGGCCAAAACCCUAAAACCAAGAGAAACAUCUCUAAGCCGCAGAACAUCUGACCAUUAAUGAUCCGGCCAAACAGCCGAUCAACGAACCAAGUUACCCUAGGGAUAACAGCGCAAUCCUCUCCCAGAGUCCAUAUCGACGAGGGGGUUUACGACCUCGAUGUUGGAUCAGGACAUCCUAAUGGUGCAGCCGCUAUUAAGGGUUCGUUUGUUCAACGAUUAA